GUCAUUAUAUAGUGGUUAAGGAGCAGGACUCAUAAUCGAAAGGUUGCCGGUUCGAUCCCCGCUGAGACA
Non-coding RNA from Megalops atlanticus (tarpon), 69 nucleotides. The record is from the annotation of a GenBank genome assembly. Lineage: Eukaryota; Metazoa; Chordata; Actinopteri; Elopiformes; Megalopidae.